This is a small nuclear RNA of Sorex fumeus (smoky shrew), 164 nucleotides long. RefSeq annotates it as U1 spliceosomal RNA. Lineage: Eukaryota; Metazoa; Chordata; Mammalia; Eulipotyphla; Soricidae. The record is from RefSeq and is a predicted model, not a curated record. The transcript has a single exon.
AUACUUACCUGACUGGGGAGAUACCAUGAUCAUAAAGGUACUUUACCCAGGGUGACGCUUAUUAUCCAUUGCACUUUAAAUGUGUUGACCCAUGUGAUUUCCCUAAAUGUGGAAAACUCAACUGCUUAAUUUGUGGUAGUGGGGAUCUGUGUUUGUGCUCUCAA